ACGUAAGGGGCGAGCGUUGUUCGGAAUUAUUGGGCGUAAAGGGCGUGUAGGCGGUUUGGUAAGCCUGGUGUAAAAGGCGUACGCUUAACGUACGUAGGGCGCUGGGGACUGUCAGACUAGAGUGUAGGUAGGGGAGCUGGAAUUCCAGGUGUAGGGGUGGAAUCUGUAGAUAUCAGGAGGAACACCGAUGGCGAAGGCAGGCUUCUAGCCAUGCACUGACGCUGAGGCGCGAAGGCGUGGGGAGCGAACAG
This 251-nucleotide ribosomal RNA is filed under the name uncultured prokaryote. RNAcentral describes it as "partial 16S rRNA". It matches the Rfam family "Bacterial small subunit ribosomal RNA", at positions 525 to 775 of the family's 1533-position model. The record is from RNAcentral.